This 768-nucleotide non-coding RNA is filed under the name Sclerodermus sichuanensis. Lineage: Eukaryota; Metazoa; Arthropoda; Insecta; Hymenoptera; Bethylidae. The record is from RNAcentral.
AAAAUUUUAAUUUAAGAUUAAAUAAUUAGUUAUAUAAAUUUUUUAUAUAAAAAUUUUGGUGAUUAAAUAUUUUUUAUAAGUAUUUAAUUUAAUAUUUAAUUUAUAAUAUUAAUUAAUAUAUGAAAAUGUAUUUUAGAUAUUUAUUUAAUUGUUAUAUUAUAAUGUGCCAGCAUAUGCGGUUAUACAUUAGAUAAUAAUUAAUUUAAUUAAUUAUAUUGAAGUAUUAUUAAUUAUAGAGUGAGUUUAUUUUAUAGAAUAUAUUGUGGUGAAAUAGUUAAUAUAUUUUGUUAAAUUAAUUAUAGAUGAUUAAAAUAGUAAAGUUAAGUUUAGUGAAUAGGAUUAGAUACCCUAUUAAUUUAAAUUAAUAUUUAAUUUAAUGAAUAAGUUUAAUAAAUUUAAAAUUAUUAAAUUUGGCGGUAUUAAUAUUUAAUUAGAGGAACUUGUUUAUUAAUUGAUAAUCCACGAAUAGAUAAACUAAUUAGAUUUUAUGUAUUGUUGUUUAAAAUUAUAUUAAAAUGUAUAGUUGAGAUAUAGAAAAUUUAUAGUAAUUCAAAUCAAAAUGUAGAUUUUAAUUAGAUUAAGUGAGUUACAAUUAAUUAUAUUAUUGGAGUUUAAAUUUAAGUUUAAAUUGAAAUUGGAUUUAAUAGUAAAAUUAAAUUAAAUUUUUAAUUUGAUUAAUAAUAAUAUGUACAAAUUGCCCGUCAUUUUCAAUCAAGUUGAAAGAAGUCGUAACAAAGUAGAAGUACUGGAAAGUGUUUUUAGAUUAAA